This 369-nucleotide ribosomal RNA is filed under the name uncultured bacterium. RNAcentral describes it as "bacterial SSU rRNA". It matches the Rfam family "Bacterial small subunit ribosomal RNA", at positions 527 to 896 of the family's 1533-position model. The record is from RNAcentral.
GUAGGGUGCAAACGUUAAUCGGAAUUACUGGACGUAAAACGUACGCAGGCGGUUUCGUAAGUCUGAUGUGAAAUCCCCGGGCUCAACCUGGGAAUUGCAUUGGAGACUGCAAGGCUAGAAUCUGGCAGAGGGGGGUAGAAUUCCACGUGUAGCAGUGAAAUGCGUAGAUAUGUGGAGGAACACCGUUGGCGAAGGCAGCCCCCCGGGUCAAGAUUGACGCUCAUGCACGAAAGCGUGGGGAGCAAACAGGAUUAGAUACCCUGGUAGUCCACGCCCUAAACGAUGUCUACUAGUUGUCGGGUCUUAAUUGACUUGGUAACGCUACUAACGCGUGAAGUAGACCGCCUGGGGAGUACGGUCGCAAGAUUA